GACACAAGCAUGGGCCAUUUCUCCUCUUCCUUUCUUUGCUGCAUGUGCACAUUCCCCUUGUGACCACGAGUGCAUUCCUGGGGAAAAGUCAGCAUGGCUUAUACGGUGAUAAUGUGGAGGAGAUGGACUGGCUCAUAGCCAGUGACUUCAUGUCAUCAUCAGAAGUUACCGAAAGUGAAGCAAUAAAGUUAACGUUCAGGACAAUGCAGAGACGCUGUCUUCCUUCUAUGGCCUUCAAGAAACCCUGGAGAGGACCAGUGAGGCUGCAGAUUCUUAAAAGAGCAUAGACAUUAAAAUUCUUGCAGAAUCUGAAUGUGUCUCCUGAGACAAGCAUCGUGAUAGAGUUCACAGUCUUAAAAGUCUGCAUUUUCAGGUGGGGCAAGGUGGCUCAUGCCUUUAAUCCCAGCAUUUUGGGAGGCUGAGGCAGGGAGAUGGCUUGAGGCCAGGAGUUCAAGACCAGCCUGGGCAACAUAGUGAGACCCUCCCCCCCAUCUC
This 495-nucleotide long non-coding RNA is filed under the name Pan troglodytes (chimpanzee). RNAcentral's name for it is "long non-coding RNA NONPTRT018419". The record is from RNAcentral. Lineage: Eukaryota; Metazoa; Chordata; Mammalia; Primates; Hominidae.